UACGUAGGGUGCGAGCGUUAGUCGGAAUUACUGGGCGUAAAGCGUGCGCAGGCGGUUUUGUAAGCCAGAUGUGAAAUCCCCCGGCUUACCCGGGGACCGGCAUCCCAUACUGCUUGGCUUGAGUACGGGAGAGGAUGUGGGAAUUCCUGGUGUAGCGGUGAAAUGCGUAGAUAUCAGGAGGAACACCGGUGGCGAAGGCGCACAUCUGGCCCGAUACUGACGCUGAAGCGCGAAAGCUAGGGGAGCAAACGGG
RNAcentral lists this ribosomal RNA (253 nucleotides) under uncultured bacterium. RNAcentral's name for it is "partial 16S ribosomal RNA". It matches the Rfam family "Bacterial small subunit ribosomal RNA", at positions 524 to 776 of the family's 1533-position model. The record is from RNAcentral.